RNA transcript from Ailuropoda melanoleuca (giant panda), 4191 nucleotides. It is a transcript of the gene named ataxin 3, with no coding region annotated. The transcript is spliced from 11 exons. The record is from RefSeq and is a predicted model, not a curated record. Lineage: Eukaryota; Metazoa; Chordata; Mammalia; Carnivora; Ursidae.
GGAGGAGGGGUGGGGCCGAGGGGCGGGGCUGGGGGGGGGGCCGUUGGCUCCAGACAAAUAAACAUGGAGUCCAUCUUCCACGAGAAACAAGAAGGCUCACUUUGUGCUCAGCAUUGCUUGAAUAAUCUAUUGCAAGGAGAAUAUUUUAGCCCUGUGGAAUUAUCUUCAAUUGCACAUCAGCUAGAUGAAGAAGAGAGGAUGAGAAUGGCAGAAGGAGGAGUUACUAGCGAAGACUAUCGCACAUUUUUACAGCAGCCUUCUGGAAAUAUGGAUGACAGUGGCUUUUUCUCUAUUCAAGUUAUAAGCAAUGCCUUGAAAGUUUGGGGUUUAGAACUAAUUCUCUUCAACAGUCCGGAGUAUCAGAGGCUCAGGAUCGAUCCCAUAAAUGAAAGAUCAUUUAUAUGCAAUUACAAAGAACACUGGUUUACAGUUAGAAAAUUAGGGAAACAGUGGUUCAACUUGAAUUCUCUCUUGACGGGUCCAGAAUUAAUAUCAGACACAUACCUUGCACUUUUCUUGGCUCAAUUACAACAGGAAGGUUAUUCUAUAUUUGUUGUUAAGGGUGAUCUGCCAGAUUGUGAAGCUGACCAACUUCUACAGAUGAUCAGGGUCCAACAGAUGCAUAGACCAAAACUCAUUGGAGAAGAAUUAGCACAACUGAAAGAACAGAGAGCCCAGAAAACAGAUCUGGAACGAGUCUUAGAAGCAAAUGAUGGGUCAGCCAUGUUAGACGAAGAUGAGGAAGAUUUGCAGAGGGCUCUGGCACUAAGUCGCCAAGAAAUUGACAUGGAAGAUGAAGAAGCAGAUCUCCGUAGGGCUAUUCAGCUCAGUAUGCAAGGUAGUUCCAGAAGUAUAUCUCAAGAUAUUCCACAGACAUCAGGUACAAAUCUUACUUCAGAAGAGCUACGGAAGAGAAGAGAAGCCUACUUUGAAAAGUAAAGUAGUUGGCAGCAGCAGCAGCAGCAGCAGCAGCAGCAGCAGGACCCUCUGGGCCAUCUUUCACACCCAUGUGAGAGGCCUGCCACAAGUUCAGGAGCUCGGGGCAGUGAUCCAGAGCUCUCUCUUUACGGUGGAGUCACAGAACGUCGAUGUCUGCUUCUGCUGCAUAUUUUGUAGUAGGUAUCACUUGCCAGAGAUGAUGAUCUGGAACAUGAAAAUAAUCUACUAACAAAAGUACCUUUACAUUUAUACUGUGAUUUGACACAUCAUGUUUAAGUAGCUUAAGAGUUACAGAAGUCACACAGUACUUAAUGGGUCUGUAAAUAAGAAAGCCUUUAGUUUUGAUAAACAUUCUUUGAUUGGAAUGCACAGAGAGUUUCUUGCUAGGUCAAUACAGUGGUUUGAUUUUGGUGAAAAUUAGCUAUAUCUCUCUGAAAUAGACAUUUCGGAUUCUGUCCCCAGUCCCUCAUUCUUCACCCCCUUUGAAGCCCUUUGGAAUGUUGAAUUGUUCAUAAGCUAAAAGUUAGGAAAUUUCAGCCAACAACAUAGAAAAUUAAAAUAUGGCUGUAUACAUUUUAUCAGGGAAAUUUUUUUGACCUAGGAUUUAUUGCCGAGUUGAAAAGAGAUGAAGAAAUGCCUUUUAUGAUUAUGAAAUAGAUUUUUUUUUUGGAUAGAGACAGACUUUUUUAGUCAUUAUUUUGUGCCAAAUAAAGUUUUCUGAAAUUUCCCUUGCAAAAGUAGACCAUUUUACUUUAAAAUCUAAAGUUUUCUUUUGAGAAUUGAAAAUGUUUCAGAAGUUAUAAGACUUUAGAAUUGCAAGGGACAUUGGAGUUUAGUACUUCUCCCUCAAGAUUUGUAAACCAAAAUAUUUUAAGAUUGAGCAUUUCUGUAGUUAUCCCUAGUAUAUUUGUCCUAUUUUCCAUGGAUAUUAGCUUUUACCUUGUCCCAUUGAAAAAUUAGGUUGAACUUUUCAUACACUUGAAUGGAUGAGUUACCUAAUAUAAAAAUGAGAAAAGAAAUAUGCAUUUGAAAGUUUUAACCUUAGAGCUUAUAAAGUUCUUAGAUUACACGCCUUUAUUAAAGCACUUAAGGAAAUAUGGCAUGUUGACCUUCGUUUAGGGAUUUUUUUUUUUUUUUUAACAGCAGAGCUAAGCACACACUGGAUACAUUUGAAUGUGUUUAUUUAGUUUCUUACGAAUGUUGCAUUUGGCAGGCAGAUCCAGAAUGACUAGGGAACUGCCAACUUGUUUGGAUUGGCUUAAACUUAAUUUAGAUUCCAUUCCUUAAUUCAUUGGCCAGUAUGAAGAAAUGCCAAUGCUCAUAAUACAGUAUCAGAGAACUUAGUUAUACAAAGGUAUAGUUCACACAUCAGAAACUUAUUUACAGUAAACAACCUGCAAGAAAGUCAGAAACAAUGACAUUCACAAUAACUGUCCUGCUAAGAACUCUAUAUAAAGAUUUCCAUUCUGUUUUACCAAUUGGGAACACCUUAUUAAUGUUUAAUAUUUAAACUAUUGGUAUCAUUUUUCUAAUGUAUAAAUUGUAUUACCAGGAUAAAAUACGUACAGUGGUGAUGCUAGUGUUUAAACAAGUUUUGGAAACACCACUUUCAUAUUUUGAGAUGUCAUGGAUAUAAGUAGUUAUUUAUGUUUUAAAAAUUCACAGUAGUUAAAAAAAUAACAGUAGUUAACCUCUGUUCUAAAACCAUCAAAAAACAUUUUUUACAGUAAUUCACAUACAAAUAUUUCAGUAAUAUAAAUUGAAAAGAUUGCUGCAGGUAAACUAUAUUUUAACUUUUAAGAUCUUAGUCAAAUAAUUUACAAUUCACAGAAUAUUUAAGGAGGUGCUUGUUUUUCUUUAAAACUUGAUUUUUCUUAAUUAAGACUUUAUUCAUGCCAAAGUUGAUAAGGAAAAAAGUUCAACACUGGUUGAAGGUCAUUAUAGGUAAAACUACCAAUAGUCUGUGUCUUUUCAUUUAAUAUUAAGUUGAAUAAAGUAAUUUUAUUCCUGUCAGAGCCUAAAUCACAUUUUUAAUGUCUGCAUGUUUGAUACUCUUUUUAAAUAGUAUCAUGCUUGUGCCAAGAUUUAUUAAAUGUCUUAAAAUUGGCCUAUUGGACCCAUGCAGAUUUAAAGAAGAUUGAGUCAAUACAUAAGCAAAAUAUAGUGAUAGAAAUUAAAAUAUCUCCAUUUGAAAUAAAUCUUGAUGUUUUUAAAUUCUCAAGAGGACUCAAUAAUUAAUAUUGAUGACUUCCUAUUAAAAAUUUUAUCUGCAACUAGAGAGCCCAAUGACCACUACUCUAAAGCAGUUUGUUGUAUCUGGGCCCUAACAAGUAUGGAGAUAUUAAAUAUGUGAUCUUAAUUAAGAAAAACCAGAUUGGAUCAACUAAUCAUUUCAGCAGUGUCAAUAAUUUUUCAUAUUUUCAAAAGAAAAACUUUCCUUUAUUCCUGGUCCCUUUAUGAACCAGCAUCUUUUGCUAAAGAGAUGAACUGGCUUGUAUUUUUUAAAGUCUUACAUUGGCAAAAAUAUUUUGUUCCAUUUUACUUUCAUGAAUGAAAAGAUUAUUGACAUGGUUGGUUAAUUCUUGAAUUUUGAUUUUUUUUAAAUUUGAAGAAAAUCUUUGUAUUUUUUUUCCAAAAUGUUCUGGCAUUUUAAGAAUUAAUGCUGGUAACAUAAUUCUAAAUUUACAGGAAUUGGCAUGUUUAAUUAACAGUAGUGUCUCAGUAAAUAUUUUAAGACUAUGGAUUCAUAGACAAGGAAUGGCAAGCAAUAGUGAAAUAUAUGUGAAAAUUCCUGAUUCAUUUAGGAAGCACUUCACCUGUUUCUUGCAUAGUUUAAAUAGGGUGAAUGUCUCCAGGAACUUUUUAAAUUUUUUUUUAAAAGAGAAAAACGUACACUUAAAUGUGAAAGAUUAUCUAAUUUCUACAACACUGGACUACUAGAAAUAACUUUGUAAAAAUUACUGUUCUGUAUAAACUAUUUGAAAUUCAAGUACAAAAAACACCUGAAAAAGCAUUGUCUUUUGGCCAUGACACCAGUGCACUGUGGCAGUGCCAUUUGCUCAGGACCCAACUCCGCAGCCCUCUGUGUUCUGUUGCGGCAACUACACACAGGCCUUCCUGUCUGGUCCUUAGAAAAGCCGGGCUUCCAAAGCACUGUUGAACACUGAGGAUUCUAUUGUUAAUGUGGAUGUUCGAUGAGUUGUAUUUUAAAUAUCAAAGAUUAUUAAAUAAAGAUAAUGUUUGCUUUUUUAA